AGUAUCUUAUACAAUAAAGUUGGGUUAUGCUCUCUCAUCCUUCCUCCACGUCAGCAAAGAAGGAAGGGCAUUUUGCGCCACGUGUCUAACUCAAAAUUCUGUCUACGGAUGUAUCUUUGUGAUGGGCUCUGCGAUGGGUUUUCUGUGUUGCUGUUUGUUUUAAUUAUUUUCAAACUUUAUUUGGGUUUUAACAAAACAUUUUGUCUAGCCCAGAAGUUUAGAUUUCUUCAUCUUCUCUUCUGCGAACUUCGUCGAUUAGCAGUGAGUAUUCCAGAAAACUAAAGCGCCGAUCAACUCACCAUAACAUCUCCACCUUGCAUUAAUACCUCCUUUAAUCCGACCUUUAACGUAACUAAACCCACGAAGCAUUCAUUCGAUCUCAUCACCUCCCAAAGUAUCAGACUGAAGCUAUCAUUAUAAAUAUCCCAACUUCGAGCGAUAAACAACACAACUUUCAACGAGAUCGAGAAGAAUAGUAUGUGCUAAAUACCAAUUACACAAUGGCGAAUUCCUUCAUCCUACUUGCCGAUUUGAAAUCUGUUUGUUGAGGUUCUGGGAAGCUAGGAAUGUGAAGAAAGGCGAUGAACUGAUGAUUAUUGACAUGCUACUCCGUGAUGAGAAGGAGUAAGGAGUGAGUCCCUUUGCAUCAGAUAUAUGUGCCAUAAUUGAUGAGGCCUUUGAAGAGACCAUCCCGAAAACUUAUGUCUUGGAGCUUCUUAGUUUACUGCUUGGCGAUGAUUACACGGGGAAGAGACGAGACGGUUUAAGCAUAAAUCUUAUGCACUGUAUUGAUUGUUUUAUUUAUCUUUCGUUGACGUGGUUGUAGACAUGUUCCAUCAAGAAAAAAAUGGUUCCAUGUAGCUAAGAAGAUAGAUAAGGAAUGACGAGCAGUCAUUACUGACGUUGCAACGGUAUAUGGCUCUAGCAUGUAAUUGGAGCCGGGACUCAACAGUUUGUCCACAUGACUAACUGGGAGUUAAGGUUCAUGGAUUCAUAGAAAAGGUUCCGGCACGUGCUUGAUGUGUGUGGUUUGAAUGAAUCGUUGAAGUAUAUGGCUUUGAAGAAAGCAAUAACGUGAUGAUAGGAGAGAUGGAGUUGGUGUGGCAUGACUCAAACAGUGGCUGGAACAAGACUACGACAGGCUCAGUUAGAUGGCUUCAAUGGAAAUGAACUAUCUUAUAAGUUUUCUUGCGGAGUGUUUCUUAUACGGUUAUACCGACCCGAAAAGUGAAUCAGAUGCUUUUUCCAGUCAAAUAUUAAUCAUCAAGUUGCAGGUCACUGAAUCGCUUUGUAUAUAUGUUUUAGUGUAUUUUAGUAUUAUCUAAAAUAAAAAGGAUUUAUUGAGAGUUUUUUUUUAAGUACUUGAAAGUGUUUCCUAUAUAUUCAUUACAGAGAAUUAGGGCUGAACAAAAUAACCCAACCCAAAAAGUAGUAUAUGUUCAGAGUUCUCUGAAGUAUGUGUGGUUCAGAAUUAUAAAUUUAAAUAUUUUAAUUAUUUUCUAAAAUAAUAUUGCACAACUAUCUAAAAGAUUUUAUUAUCCGAAAAAAUAAAAAAAUAUCUAAAAACUACACAAAAUAGCCAAAAUAAAGAUUCAACAACAGUUCAAACACACAAAUAUUCAAAUAUUCAAAAUUAACCAAUUUUCAUAUUAAUUUAAUUUAUUUGAGCAUAUUUCAGAGUUAUAUGUUAUAUAUUAUUUUUAAAAUUGCCAAAAAUAAAUACUAAUAUACAGAGAAUUUAUAGUCCAAAGAAAAACCAGGUCAAACAUAUAUAACCAAAUGCAGCUAAAAAUGGAACCAAAACAUAAAUAAAAACAUGUGAAUUUAUAUGAACAAUUUUACCAAAAAAAUAUUUUAUAACAAUCAAAUCAAUAUUAUUUUUGACGUUUCAUCAGAACCGACCAAUGAAUAUAAACUUUUGGUCCGUUGAGUUUAACUUUUCUUCGGUUCUAAACUUCGUUAGACUACUUACUAUGUGUUAUGAAACAAAACUUUCUCUCUAUUCUUUUGGUAUGUGAUGUUAUAAAACUCUUUUUUCUUAAUGUGCUUUGAUAAAUGGUAAUGUUAAAAGCAACUACUUGAUUAUAAAGUUACCUCAUUGUAUAUGGCUUUGAAGAAAGCAAUAACGUGAUGAUAGGAGAGAUGGAGUUGGUGUGGCAUGACUCAAACAGUGGCUGGAACAAGACUACGACAGGCUCAGUUAGAUGGCUUCAAUGGAAAUGAACUAUCUUAUAAGUUUUCUUGCGGAGUGUUUCUUAUACGGUUAUACCGACCCGAAAAGUGAAUCAGAUGCUUUUUCCAGUCAAAUAUUAAUCAUCAAGUUGCAGGUCACUGAAUCGCUUUGUAUAUAUGUUUUUCCUACAGAUAUGUAUGUAUGCUUAAAUAGAACAGUUUCAGGUAGAAAUGAACUAAUUAAAUUUUAUUUUCUUUUUACUAAUUUGAGAUGUAUAUGUUCUGCGGUUGAUGAGACUUUAGAGAACAAAGCAAGUUGUAUUAAUACC
Long non-coding RNA from Brassica rapa (field mustard), 2501 nucleotides. RefSeq lists it as uncharacterized. NCBI's taxonomy places the organism in Eukaryota, Viridiplantae, Streptophyta, Magnoliopsida, Brassicales, Brassicaceae. The record is from RefSeq and is a predicted model, not a curated record.